AAGGUUUCAUAGGGCUUUGCGAGCGUAUAUUAGAAAUUUGAAAUCGGAGUCUAAGAAUUUUAUUCAACUCUUAUAUUUACUAGUGUAUCUCCCGCGCGAUGCGCAGUGAUUGUGAACUACACAUAUAAUAUAUUUACUUUGUUCAUAAAAUAUGACAUUUUUUAUGGGCACAAUUUUUGAUAAAAUGGACGGUAAUUUUAUAUAGUGAGAAAAAGGAUCCUACAAUUAUAAGAAAUGCAUGAUCGAGAUUAAUGUUUUUGUAAAUAAAGGAUAUUUGUAAGAAUAAAAAAUGAAGAAAAGAUGUGUGACCAUAUCUUAUAAAACCGGUUUAUAAAAAACUUUUAUAAAAGAUACGGUGGGCCUUUAUAAAACGUAGUAAAUUGAAACAUAAUUAUCCAUAUAGUAAAAAAAAAAAAAAAAAAAAAAUUUUUCUGGAGAACUUAAAUUUUUUAAGCAAUGCAUUAAUAGAUAUUUUAGAAUAUUAAUUAUUUAAAAAAAUAUUCAUUGUUCUAUUUUUAUAUAGAGUAAAAUAAUAGUAUUUUUUAUUAUUAUAAUAUGUGGCAUUUAUAACUACUUUCAAAUUAAAUAUUAUAAUUAAUAAUAAAAUCUAGUAAUAUAUAUAUAUAUAUAUAAUAUGAAAAAUAUAAAAAAAGUAAAUUAUUAAAAAUAAAAAAAUAGUUGUUUCAUUCAAAUAAUAUGCUGAAAUUUAAAAUAUUAUAAUAUAUUCAUUUUAAAUUCAAUUUAUACACAUCAUAUAGCAAAAAGAUAGAAUAGAAUAGAAAUGUUUUUUUUUUUUUUUAUGUUCAUAACAUAUUUGUUUUGAAAAUAUCUUUUAUGCGUUUUAUAUCAAAUUAAAGGUAUUUUUAUAAACUUUUUAAAGUAAGAUGCAUACUGUGUGCUUUUUUAGAAUAACAUUUUAAGAGAAUUGGAAAACAUAUGUUUAGAUUUAAAAAAAGUAAUCGAAUGAAAAAAAUAUGUUACUAAAAGCUGUCAAUAAAGCACUAAUUAAAAAGGAAAUUGAAUGAAAAAAAACGGUUACUUCUAAACAAAAUGCAGUCAGCAUUUGAUCGAUCGUGUGCCUUAUAAAAUUUUCACUUCAAUUCCAAUUAUGUCCUUCAAAUUGAAAGAAAUUACAUUUACUUUGCUUUUUAUAUAUAUAAAGAUAUUGCGAAAGAUUAAGGCACAUACAGACGUCAACAUAAUAUAUUUCUGCAAAGAUGAUUCAGCCAAUUAAGGCAAGAAAUCAUACAAACUACAGUCUACAGUUCGUUUCGAUAUCAAAGUUACAACAGGCCAACAACACCACCUUAGUUGCUUCACAUGUAGGAUUUCAUUCGAGGCCUUACCAGAGACUGGCCGCCAUCGACGAAUAUGGUUGUUCCAGUCAUGUAGCGUGCUCCGUCGCUUAUCAGAUAGAUAACCGUCGAUGACAAAUCGUUUUCAACGUCAAGCCAUCGGCGUAGUGGAUUAGCUUCAUUCACCAAUUUCACUGCCCUCUCCUUCCGUACUGACACAGGGAACUCGUCUUCAAGAUGCAAGCCACGAGCUAUCGCAUUAACCCUUAUCUGAUGCUUCCCAAUCUCCAUUGCCGAUGUCUGCCCAGNUCACAUAGAUUUAGUGUAAUAUCUAAUGAAUAAUAUAUUCUUAUAAAUAUAUAAUACUGUAAAAUAACCUUAAAAUAAAAUAUGCAAUAAAUUAAAUAGAAUUCUAAUGCCAUAAGAUUUUGGAAUCCCCUUUAUCGUUGGUUUAAUUGAUGAACUUCUUUUAGGGAAAAACGAAUUGUGAUGUAUAAAUACCAAUUAUAUUCGGGAUUUAUUUAGAAAUUGUAAUUAGAUUAGAUGAGGGAAACAUCAAUAUUGGACCUAAGUAGAAGAAAUUUUUGAUCUAAUUAAUUUGACAACGGUUUUAUGUUUAUAUUUGGUUUUAUAAGUAUAAAAUAUUAUUUAUAGAUUUGGGUGACAAAUAAAUAUAUAUUAAAUAGAUUUAUUUUAUAAAUAUAAAAUACAAAAUAAAUAAUAGGGGUAAAAUAGGCAAUCCACAAGUUGUCCAAUAGAAUGAAAAAAUAUGUUACUAAAAGUAUAAAUAAAGCACUAAUUAAAAAAGAAGCCUAAGAAAAAAACUUCUCCUAAACAAAAUGCAGUCAGCAUUUGAUCGAUCGUGUGCCUUAUAAAAUUUUCACUUCAAUUCCAAUUAUGUCCUUCAAAUUGAAAGAAAUUACAUUUACUUUGCUUUUUAUAUAUAUAAAGAUAUUGCGAAAGAUUAAGGACGACAUACAGGACGUCGAACAUAAUAUAUUUCUGCAAAGAUGAUUCAGCCAAUUAAGGCAAGAAAUCAUACAAACUACAGUCUACAGUUCGUUUCGAUAUCAAAGUUACAACAGGCCAACAACACCACCUUAGUUGCUUCACAUGUAGGAUUUCAUUCGAGGCCUU
This 2432-nucleotide long non-coding RNA is filed under the name Salvia miltiorrhiza (redroot sage). Its description in RNAcentral is "long non-coding RNA (SMIL_LNC005977)". Lineage: Eukaryota; Viridiplantae; Streptophyta; Magnoliopsida; Lamiales; Lamiaceae. The record is from RNAcentral.